Molecule: ribosomal RNA, 431 nt
Filed under: uncultured bacterium
Lineage: Bacteria
Description: partial 16S ribosomal RNA
Rfam family: Bacterial small subunit ribosomal RNA
Source: RNAcentral
CCUACGGGAGGCUGCAGUAAGGAAUAUUGGUCAAUGGACGCAAGUCUGAACCAGCCAUGCCGCGUGAAGGAUGACGGCCUCUGGGUUGUAAACUUCUUUUAUGGGGGGAGCGGUACCCUAUGAAUAAGCACCGGCUAACUCCGUGCCAGCAGCCGCGGUAAUACGGAGGGUGCAAGCGUUAUCCGGAUUCACUGGGUUUAAAGGGAGCGCAGGCGGAUUUGUAAGUCAGUGGUGAAAGGCUUAAGCUUAACUUGGGAACUGCCAUUGAUACUAUAAGUCUUGAAUGUUGUUGAGGUUUGCGGAAUGGGUCAUGUAGCGGUGAAAUGCAUAGAUAUGACCCGGAACACCUAUUGCGAAGGCAGCAGGCUACAAAUAUUGACGCUGAGGCUCGAAAGCGUGGGGAUCAAACAGGAUUAGAUACCCUUGUAGUC